AAGUCGAGCGAACUGAUUAGAAGCUUGCUUCUAUGACGUUAGCGGCGGACGGGUGAGUAACACGUGGGCAACCUGCCUGUAAGACUGGGAUAACUUCGGGAAACCGAAGCUAAUACCGGAUAGGAUCUUCUCCUUCAUGGGAGAUGAUUGAAAGAUGGUUUCGGCUAUCACUUACAGAUGGGCCCGCGGUGCAUUAGCUAGUUGGUGAGGUAACGGCUCACCAAGGCAACGAUGCAUAGCCGACCUGAUAGGGUGAUCGGCCACACUGGGACUGAGACACGGCCCAGACUCCUACGGGAGGCAGCAGUAGGGAAUCUUCCGCAAUGGACGAAAGUCUGACGGACCAACGCCGCGUGAGUGAUGAAGGCUUUCCGGUCGUAAAACUCUGUUGUUAGGGAAGAACAAGUACAAGAGUAACUGCUUGUACCUUGACGGUACCUAACCAGAAAGCCACGGCUAACUACGUGCCAGCAUCCGCGGUAAUACGUACGUGGCAAGCGUUAUCCGGAAUUAUUGGGCGUAAAUCACGCGCAGGCGGUUUCUUAAGUCUGAUGUGCAAACCCCACGGCUCAACCGUGGAGGGUCAUUGGAAACUGGCUGAACUUGAGUGCAUAAGAGAAAAGCGGAAUUCCACGUGUAGCGGUGAAAUGCGUAUAGAUGUGGAGGAGCACCGUUGGCCAAGGCGGCUUUUUGUUCUGUAAAUGACGCUGAGGCUCCAAAGCGUGGCGAUCAAAUACGAUUAGAUACCCUGGUAAUCCCCGCCGUAGACGAUGACUGCCCAAGUGCCAAAAGGUUUCCUCCCCUUUAAUGCUGCAG
This 816-nucleotide ribosomal RNA is filed under the name uncultured bacterium. Its description in RNAcentral is "bacterial SSU rRNA". It matches the Rfam family "Bacterial small subunit ribosomal RNA", at positions 59 to 851 of the family's 1533-position model. The record is from RNAcentral.